UGGGAUUUUGACAAUAUUGUGUAUUUUAAUUUGAAAUAUUUUAAUUUAUUUUUAAGUUAUUAUGGAUACAUGUUUAUGAUACUAAAGUUAGUCAGAUAUCUCUAUAUAUGCGUUAAUGUUUUAUAAUUACCUCAAAACAUAGACUUUUUUUACUGAGGUUUUAUUUUUCCCUUUCCUCUUUUUGGACGCUCCAGGUCCUUCAACUGAACGUGAUCGCCGCAGUUGUAAAAAUAAAAGUUCUUAGUUAAAAAGUACUUUAGUCGUCAAUGUCUAAUAUAUCAAAUUUAUUUGUGCCUUUGGGUUAUAUAAAAGAGCACUUUCAGGGUAUUUUUGGAUAUAUUUUUCAAACGAUAAGAGGAAUUAACUGAUAUGAAGGGUGGGACACGAAAGUUAUUCCCAGUUCGUGCCAUUUGAGAACGAUCAAGUAUAUUAUUGUAAAGAUCCUUGAACCUUAACCCACAGGUUUAAGAAAAAUUAAGCAAUUUAUAGCUUUUAUUAAGAGGAUUCCUUGCUUUUGAAAAAUGUUAAAAUAUUUCAACUAGAUAGGAUUGCCCGUCUGCCAAC
RNAcentral lists this long non-coding RNA (564 nucleotides) under Mytilus galloprovincialis (Mediterranean mussel). The record is from RNAcentral. Lineage: Eukaryota; Metazoa; Mollusca; Bivalvia; Mytilida; Mytilidae.